Molecule: long non-coding RNA, 494 nt
Filed under: Vigna radiata
Lineage: Eukaryota; Viridiplantae; Streptophyta; Magnoliopsida; Fabales; Fabaceae
Description: long non-coding RNA (VRAD_LNC006971)
Source: RNAcentral
GACCCAUGUUCUUUUAGUGAAUUAUUAGCUUGUGUUUAAUUCAUGCAUUGUUUUGUGCAUACUUUGAUGUUUAUUCUUUUAUUCUGUUAUGAUAUGUCUUUAUUUUGUUGUUGAAAUUUUAUUGUGAAUUCCAUAUAGGUGCUAAACUGGUUGAGUAGCCUAGGACACCUCAUUGGGAAGGCUUAAAGUGUUUUAUAGUCAAGCAAGCAAGGUAUGUUUACUCUUUAGUUUUCCCAUCUAUUGUUUUGUUUGUUCCAUGUGUGUAUGUUGUGCUUGUCCUAUUUGUGGUCUGAUCCAAGAUUGUUUUCCAUAUCGUUUUCCAUAUUGUUUUCCAUAUCAUUUUAUCCUUAAUGCUCCCCAUUAUCUUCUCUUUUUCUUCCUUUUCCAAACAGUCCAACUAGACACUUCUAAGUUUCUAUGCUUUUGAACUUAACUCCCUUACAAUGCUCACUCUUAAAAGGCUCUAUCUCCAUGCCCCCUUUUUCUACCAUUCC